This 531-nucleotide ribosomal RNA is filed under the name Staphylococcus aureus. RNAcentral's name for it is "bacterial SSU rRNA". It matches the Rfam family "Bacterial small subunit ribosomal RNA", at positions 158 to 676 of the family's 1533-position model. The record is from RNAcentral. Lineage: Bacteria; Bacillati; Bacillota; Bacilli; Caryophanales; Staphylococcaceae.
CGGAGCUAAUACCGGAUAAUAUUUUGAACCGCAUGGUUCAAAAGUGAAAGACGGUCUUGCUGUCACUUAUAGAUGGAUCCGCGCUGCAUUAGCUAGUUGGUAAGGUAACGGCUUACCAAGGCAACGAUGCAUAGCCGACCUGAGAGGGUGAUCGGCCACACUGGAACUGAGACACGGUCCAGACUCCUACGGGAGGCAGCAGUAGGGAAUCUUCCGCAAUGGGCGAAAGCCUGACGGAGCAACGCCGCGUGAGUGAUGAAGGUCUUCGGAUCGUAAAACUCUGUUAUUAGGGAAGAACAUAUGUGUAAGUAACUGUGCACAUCUUGACGGUACCUAAUCAGAAAGCCACGGCUAACUACGUGCCAGCAGCCGCGGUAAUACGUAGGUGGCAAGCGUUAUCCGGAAUUAUUGGGCGUAAAGCGCGCGUAGGCGGUUUUUUAAGUCUGAUGUGAAAGCCCACGGCUCAACCGUGGAGGGUCAUUGGAAACUGGAAAACUUGAGUGCAGAAGAGGAAAGUGGAAUUCCAUGUGU